RNAcentral lists this unclassified non-coding RNA (376 nucleotides) under uncultured bacterium. Its description in RNAcentral is "contains 16S-23S intergenic spacer region". The record is from RNAcentral.
UCCGGUUUGGCACCGGCAGUCUUCCUAGAGUCCCCGACAUUACUCGCUGGCAACUAAGAACGGGGGUUGCGCUCGUUGCGGGACUUAACCCAACAUCUCACGACACGAGCUGACGACAGCCAUGCACCACCUGUGCACAGGCCCCGAAGGGCUGCCGUGUUUCCACGACAUUCCUGUGCAUGUCAAGCCCUGGUAAGGUUCUUCGCGUCGCGUCGAAUUAAACCACAUGCUCCGCUGCUUGUGCGGGUCCCCGUCAAUUCCUUUGAGUUUUAAUCUUGCGACCGUACUCCCCAGGCGGAAUGCUUAAUGCGUUAGCUGCGCCACCGACGGGCAAGCCCGCCGACGGCUGGCAUUCAUCGUUUACGGCGUGGACUAC